GUGAAUCAUCAAAUUUUUGAACGCAAAUUGCACUCUCUUCUAAGAGUAUGCCUGUUUGAGUGUCAGCCUAAAAAAAAUCGACAUCGUUGCUGUUUCGCGGGGGCGGUCGUCGGAAAUUGGUGCAUCUUAAAUCUUUUGUGUUUAAGCUGCUUAUAGUACUCUACGGUUCCAUGAACGAUUCUA
This 183-nucleotide unclassified non-coding RNA is filed under the name Glomus sp. Its description in RNAcentral is "partial contains 5.8S ribosomal RNA and internal transcribed spacer 2". The stretch from base 1 to 65 matches the Rfam family "5.8S ribosomal RNA", at positions 84 to 154 of the family's 154-position model. The record is from RNAcentral. Lineage: Eukaryota; Fungi; Glomeromycota; Glomeromycetes; Glomerales; Glomeraceae.